Molecule: long non-coding RNA, 992 nt
Organism: Pongo pygmaeus (Bornean orangutan)
Lineage: Eukaryota; Metazoa; Chordata; Mammalia; Primates; Hominidae
Exons: 6
Source: RefSeq, a predicted model, not a curated record
UGUACAAGAAGCAUGGCACCAGCAUCUGCUUCUGGUGAGGCCUCAGGAAGCUUUUACUCAUGGCAGAAAGCAAAGACAGAACAAGAGAGAUGCCAGCUCUUUUAAAAAAUCAGAUCUCAUGUGAACUAACAAGGGAGUGGAUGACAGACACUGUGAUGUUGCUAAACCACCUAUAAGUUUAGGCUGAUGUGAGUGUUUAGCAGCCACAUGCAUACCAGCUGCUACUUCCAGGAGUGCCACUUUAAGUCUUCAGAAUGUGGGCAGCUGACUCCUUCAUGAAUGACACCAGCCAUACUUCUGAAACUACAGCUGCUGGGCCUCUCUGAGCCUUCUCCGUGUGAUGGCAGAGGCAGACCUAGUCGUAGCUGCAGAAACAAAGGUGAAGGACCACCUGAAGCUGGCUGGUGGGUACUGUUCUAUGCUUACUUCAGUGCACAUAUGCACACAGGCCUUCAGAGACGGUUACCCCAUUUACCCCAUUUGGCUGCCUCUUAUCCAAAGGACUCUAAGUGACACUGAAAGCAGGAUGCAGAGUGAUGACCCACUCCUGUUGAUAAGCAGCAUAUGUAGGAAAUGCUCCAGAGGAAAAGAACAGCCAUUUUACACUAUGACUAGGCCAUACUUCAACUGGCCUGAUGAGAAGGACAGCAAGCUUUUCAACACUGGCCUCAUGGAGUCAGGUGAUGCACAGGUAUCAAAUGCUAUCCCUCAGACAGGUUUUUAAGAGGACAGUAUUUGCACAACAGUGAUAAAGGCUACCAUGGGAAUUGCAAAUUCGAUUUGACUUACAGCAGUCAUGCUUUCCUCUAGAGACAGAGAGGAUUUGAGCUGCAGGGAAACACACACAUACACACACACACACAACUCCUUGCACUGCCUGAAAAUUAGUAUGGAUUGACAAAAUGAAAUAGCAUAGUAGACUGGCAGAGGGAUGAUAAUUGCAGUAGGGCAACCAGGGCUGGUUGAGCCCAGAGGAGGAAAUUAUCAUUUUG